This is a long non-coding RNA of Mauremys mutica (yellowpond turtle), 432 nucleotides long. RefSeq lists it as uncharacterized. Lineage: Eukaryota; Metazoa; Chordata; Testudines; Geoemydidae. The transcript is spliced from 3 exons. The record is from RefSeq and is a predicted model, not a curated record.
AAUAUGCAGACACUAAAGUUCUGCAGCCAAAUUCUCAGGAACCUUCCUCUUCAAUAUAGGAUCAGGAUUUUGUUUUGAAUUGUUUUAUUUUUUUAAAAAGUGCUGAGCAGAUGCUACACUGUAAGAAAUGGAAACAGAAGCAAAAACUGAAAGACUGUUACUAAAACCAAUGAACAGCUGCAGAGAGUGGAGACCCGGCAAAGCAGACAAAUGAAUACUGAAAGGGAUCCCCAAAGGAGGUGCAAGGAUCCGGGACUCUAGUGUCUGCCAGAAGCUUCAGCCACCUUCACAGGUUAGAGCUCGCCGUCCAUUGCGGAGGUGAAGACCGGAUGGGAGCUGCUGGAUUGACCUUGAUGUGCCAUGUCCUUGUGUGGAUGAAGGACCUACAUCUCAGGGGUGGCCAGCAGCAGAUGUAACACCUGUGUCCAGGAA